GACGAACGCUGGCGGCGUGCUUAACACAUGCAAGUCGAGCGAUGAAGCUUCCUCCGGGAAGUGGAUUAGCGGCGGACGGGUGAGUAACACGUGGGCAACCUGCCUCAAAGAGGGGAAUAGCCCUCCGAAAGGAGGAUUAAUACCGCAUAAAGUUAGAGUUUCGCAUGAAACUUUAACCAAAGGAGUAAUCCGCUUUGAGAUGGGCCCGCGUCCCAUUAGCUAGUUGGUAGGGUAAUGGCUUACCAAGGCAACGAUGGGUAGCCGACCUGAGAGGGUGAUCGGCCACAUUGGAACUGAGACACGGUCCAGACUCCUACGGGAGGCAGCAGUGGGGAAUAUUGCGCAAUGGGGGAAACCCUGACGCAGCAACGCCGCGUGAGCGAUGAAGGUCUUCGGAUCGUAAAGCUCUGUCUUUUGGGACGAUAAUGACGGUACCAAAAGAGGAAGCCACGGCUAACUACGUGCCAGCAGCCGCGGUAAUACGUAGGUGGCGAGCGUUGUCCGGAAUUACUGGGCGUAAAGGGUGCGUAGGCGGAUAUUUAAGUCAGAUGUGAAAUACCCAGGCUUAACUUGGGAGUUGCAUUUGAAACUGGAUAUCUAGAGUGCAGGAGAGGAAAGCGGAAUUCCUAGUGUAGCGGUGAAAUGCGUAGAGAUUAGGAAGAACACCAGUGGCGAAGGCGGCUUUCUGGACUGUAACUGACGCUGAGGCACGAAAGCGUGGGUAGCAAACAGGAUUAGAUACCCUGGUAGUCCACGCUGUAAACGAUGAAUACUAGGUGUAGGAGGUGUCAUGCCUUCUGUGCCGCAGUUAACACAAUAAGUAUUCCGCCUGGGGAGUACGGUCGCAAGAUUAA
RNAcentral lists this ribosomal RNA (854 nucleotides) under uncultured bacterium. Its description in RNAcentral is "bacterial SSU rRNA". It matches the Rfam family "Bacterial small subunit ribosomal RNA", at positions 28 to 897 of the family's 1533-position model. The record is from RNAcentral.